This 466-nucleotide ribosomal RNA is filed under the name uncultured bacterium. RNAcentral describes it as "partial 16S ribosomal RNA". It matches the Rfam family "Bacterial small subunit ribosomal RNA", at positions 28 to 507 of the family's 1533-position model. The record is from RNAcentral.
GACGAACGCUGGCGGCGUGCUUAACACAUGCAAGUCGAACGGAAAGGCCCUGCUUGCCGGGUACUCGAGUGGCGAACGGGUGAGUAACACGUGGGUGAUCUGCCCUGCACUUCGGGAUAAGCUUGGGAAACUGGGUCUAAUACCGGAUAGGAGCCAUCUUUAGUGUGGUGGUUGGAAAGUUUUUUCGGUGUAGGAUGAGCUCGCGGCCUAUCAGCUUGUUGGUGGGGUAAUGGCCUACCAAGGCGGCGACGGGUAGCCGGCCUGAGAGGGUGUACGGCCACAUUGGGACUGAGAUACGGCCCAGACUCCUACGGGAGGCAGCAGUGGGGAAUAUUGCACAAUGGGCGCAAGCCUGAUGCAGCGACGCCGCGUGGGGGAUGAAGGCGUUCGGGUUGUAAACUCCUUUCGCUAGGGACGAAGCUUUUUUGUGACGGUACCUAGAUAAGAAGCACCGGCUAACUACGUG